ACUUUGCAAUCAUAGAUGGAUUUUAGGGAAUAUCUGGUGUCGCACUUUAUUGUACACUGAAAUAUUUUUAUGAAGCAUUGAGUUAUGAUGUACUUUAACGCGACUUAAAAUAAAUCCCUAUUUUUUAUUAUUUUACUCAAUUUCUCAUUCUUCUAGGUCUAUUAUUAAACAUACAACCUAGAAAUAGUUUUGCGAUCAUUAUUUUUUUUAAAGAAUUCGAAGUUUAUUCAGAUUUUAUUUUUUAAUAUAUUUUUUUAUUAUAUUUAUUUACUCGUGUUUUGGGAGAAUAUCUUUAGAGUGUACAACCGCAACAACAACAGGUUGACCGCGGUUGACUCUGUUGUUUACCAACAAAUGUUUGACUCGGUGAUUAUUAUUUUGAUUGCUGCGAAUACGGAUUCAGAGAAAGUUCAGCGCAAAUAGUGAGGAUUUUUGGAGUUCAAUACUGAUACGGAAUGGAGGCGGAUGAGGAAGCAAGUGUGCAUACGAGUGCGGCAGCAUCCUUAGCAGGGAGCGAUGAGGAAGAUUUUUUGGUGGAGGCCCUCGAUGAAGCU
Molecule: long non-coding RNA, 554 nt
Organism: Aedes albopictus (Asian tiger mosquito)
Lineage: Eukaryota; Metazoa; Arthropoda; Insecta; Diptera; Culicidae
Exons: 3
Source: RefSeq, a predicted model, not a curated record